Molecule: ribosomal RNA, 253 nt
Filed under: uncultured bacterium
Lineage: Bacteria
Description: partial 16S ribosomal RNA
Rfam family: Bacterial small subunit ribosomal RNA
Source: RNAcentral
UACGGAGGAUGCAAGCGUUAUCCGGAUUUAUUGGGCGUAAAGCGUCCGCAGGUGGUUGUUCAAGUCUGCUGUUAAAGCGCGAGGCUUAACCUUGUACAGGCAGUGGAAACUGAGCGACUAGAGUAUGGUAGGGGUAGCGGGGAUUCCCAGUGUAGCGGUGAAAUGCGUAGAUAUUGGGAAGAACACCAGCGGCGAAAGCGCGCUACUGGGCCAUUACUGACACUCAUGGACGAAAGCUAGGGGAGCGAACAGG